CUGAAAACCGGAGACGCAGAAGAGAGAGUGUGAUGUUAUUUAUUGGACUGUAACCAUGGAGCUGUUGCCGGGGAACAAACCAUCGCCAACAAAAGGGUGGAUUCAUCCAUUCACCAAGCGGAGAGCAAAAGGAGGAGGAGGAGGAGGAGGUAUUCGAUUUGAGACGACCCUACCCCGCUGAAAUACACGCACUACUCAAGUUUCUGAAGGACGUUUGUGCUUCGCUUCACCAGCAGCUGAAAAUGGACUCUCUGAACCGGCGUCGGGUCUCAGGAGUAAUUGAGCAAAGAGAAGCAGGAGCAGCUUCAUCCACGACUGAGAUUAACCCUGAAACCGUCUGCAAAUAGUGAGGGAUGAUGCUCAGAAUAAAGGACCAGGCAGAAACAGGAGCAGCUGUUCACUGAGCUGACGACCUCCAACAUGGCCGAAGGUAAUAUCACAUAUUUAUCCAAACUGUGGAUCGCAGCCUAAAUGCACAGCUCUGACGGCAGACUGAGGGCCGGUUCAGCCUCCGACCACCAACCACAGCUCCAUUAUCAGCUCAGAUGGAGGCUGUUGGCUCAGACUAACAACCUGUGACCCAUUUAACACAUCAGCUAACUCCGUUUUAGCUUCCUCUGCCGUGGAUGAGCUGCCGGACACUCGAUUCCUGUCCCCGCUGGUUCUCACAUUAUCCUGUUUUGGUUUGUUGCUCCGGAGGGAGCGGGCCCAUUUACACCACAAGCUGAGAUCCCAGAGAGGACGGAGGAUGGCCUCUUUUACAUUUCACACAUGAAGCUGCUGCUGGACUCCAGGAGACACAUGGUCCAGUUCUACCUGUUCACAUCACAGCUUUACACCGCCGGAACCGAGCCAAGUACUGGUACUCAGGUACUCUGUUACAGUACGUUACUUUAUACUUCUACAUCUCAGAGGGAAAUGUUGUUCCUUUUACUGCUCUACAUUUAUUUAAUAACUUCAUUUACUUUACAGAUUCAGAUUAAUAAUAGAAAAUAUAAUCAUUAAAUAUUAUAUCAACAAGACUUUAUUGAUCCUCAGGAGGAAAUUCACAAACUACCAGCAGAAUAUGAAGUCAUUAAAAGUAGCUCCAUCUUUACCAGCUGUUACAGCUGUAACAUCAAUAACACGUCAAUUUAACUGUUAGUAUCACAUUCCUCUUUGCUCGGCGUAAUAUAUAUCUUAAAUUAAUUCAGACUAACAGUCUCACAAAAGUCUCAUUUACUGGAGGAAGAGACGCGACCAUCACCUGGUUCACCUGCUUUACCUCACCUGUUUAGUCAGCUCUCACCUGUUCAAUCAGCUCUCACCUGUUCAAUCAGCUCUCACCUGUUAAAUCAGCUCUCACCUGUUCAAUCAGCUCUCACCUGUUCAAUCAGCUCUCACCUGUUCAAUCAGCUCUCACCUGUUAAAUCAGCUCUCACCUGUUCAAUCAGCUCUCACCUGUUCAAUCAGCUCUCACCUGUUCAAUCAGCUCUCACCUGUUCAAUCAGCUCUCACCUGUUAAAUCAGCUCUCACCUGUUCAAUCAGCUCUCACCUGUUCAAUCAGCUCUCACCUGUUCAAUCAGCUCUCAGUGCUGCUGCUGAAAGAUUUAAACUACCGCCCACAAUCUGUCCUUUUCCUCUGGGAAUAAUAAUAAAUAACCUCCAUGGAUCCGCUGCUCGGCCUCCUCCCUGUCACUCAGCACCAAGAUCGUGUGCAGGUUCUGCGUGUCGUCCAGGUUCUGGGGAUAGUUGGCCAUGUUCUCCCCCAACUGAAGCAGACAGUCUGAGAACCCUUUAAACACCGAGUCACAUUGACCAGCACUGACCAGCACCGUCUGCAAC
Molecule: long non-coding RNA, 1825 nt
Organism: Sebastes umbrosus (honeycomb rockfish)
Lineage: Eukaryota; Metazoa; Chordata; Actinopteri; Perciformes; Sebastidae
Exons: 7
Source: RefSeq, a predicted model, not a curated record